This 468-nucleotide ribosomal RNA is filed under the name uncultured bacterium. RNAcentral's name for it is "partial 16S ribosomal RNA". It matches the Rfam family "Bacterial small subunit ribosomal RNA", at positions 28 to 507 of the family's 1533-position model. The record is from RNAcentral.
GACGAACGCUGGCGGCGUGCUUAACACAUGCAAGUCGAACGGAAAGGCCCUGCUUUUGUGGGGUGCUCGAGUGGCGAACGGGUGAGUAACACGUGAGUAACCUGCCCUUGACUUUGGGAUAACUUCAGGAAACUGGGGCUAAUAACGGAAAGGAGGUCCUGCUUCAUGGUGGGGGUUGGAAAGUUUAGGUGGAGGGGGAUGGACUGGCGGAUUAUCAGGUUGGUGGGGGGGUAGUGGCUUACCAAGGCUUUGACGGGUAGCUGGCCUGAGAGGGUGACCGGUCACAGUGCGACUGAGAUACGGCCGAGACUCCUACGGGAGGCAGCAGUGGGGAAUAUUGCACAAUGGGCGGAAGCCGGAUGCAGCAACGCCGCGUGAGGGAUGACGGCCUUCGGGUGGUAGACCGCUUUCGCCUGUGACGAAGCGUGAGUGACGGUAAUGGGUAAAGAAGCACCGGCUAACUACGUG